UGCACUGUGUGGUAUCUGGAUUCAGUAGUUUAUUCCUGCUGGGUGUUCAAAAGACAUUGCAAUAUGAAUUCAGCACCUGGCAUCGUUGGUUUUCUUGGCAUGUUAAACCUGGUAUUUUUAUUGAUACAAUA
This is a small nucleolar RNA of Myotis lucifugus (little brown bat), 131 nucleotides long. Ensembl annotates it as small nucleolar RNA SNORA8. Lineage: Eukaryota; Metazoa; Chordata; Mammalia; Chiroptera; Vespertilionidae. The record is from Ensembl.